AUAGCAAUUUAUGAAGAAAAUAAGCGUAGUGCAAAUCCACAUUUGUCUUUACCUGUUACACUUUCAUAUUGUGCAACCCGCCACGACCCGAUGCAUCCCCAUUAUGACAGCGCGAGGAGGUAUGGUCCAAAACUGAGUGACGAAUCUGACGUCCCAACGACACACAAAGCCAAGAAAGCACAACAACGAAAUUAAAGAAUCAGUUUUUAAAUUAGGUGUAAAAUAGUGGAAGUCAUCCGUAUGGAUAACCAAUUAUGAACACAUCACUGGUUGGGAAAUUUCCCUUUUUCAGAAGCGCGUUUGAGUUCAAACUGUUGCCUGUUCGGUAGAAUCUUGUGCCACGUUACGCUACCUUGCAUUUAUUUCAAAAUCAGUUCACAGUCAUUUCUGGUAUAGAAGCCAGUCAAAAACUGUUCUUGUACCGAGAUCAGAAGUGCCCUAAGUAGGACAGGCGAGACUAAUAUAGUUUCCUGCACUUCUAGGAACAGUAUUCCCGAGCCUCUUACUACCAUCGAAUAUCACAGAUAGGUCACUAGACUUUGUCUGGGGACUCAUUGGUAACAGAGCAAUAUGCUAAAGAGGCAGCUAGUUUUUUGUAUGCUCUAAAAAUAAUGAGAAGGAAAACAAUUGCCAAGCGAGUUCUCGACUGCGAACACGAAGAUGAACGAGAGGAGGACCAAAAACAUGACAUCGACGAUAGGAAAUUGCAAAGCGAGCUCUCAUGUCACGAGCUGAAGAAGAGAAGAAAGCAUGUGUACCCCACAAAAGAGUGCGCCGAGGAAAAUUCACCCCACGCUGCUGACAUCCUGAAGUUGAAAACGAGGGCCUUAGAGUUUGACAGCGCUGGCGUGGAGCGCUCG
Anguilla rostrata (American eel) is the source of this 860-nucleotide long non-coding RNA. RefSeq lists it as uncharacterized. NCBI's taxonomy places the organism in Eukaryota, Metazoa, Chordata, Actinopteri, Anguilliformes, Anguillidae. The record is from RefSeq and is a predicted model, not a curated record. The transcript has 3 exons.